Molecule: ribosomal RNA, 1362 nt
Filed under: Triaenodes tardus
Lineage: Eukaryota; Metazoa; Arthropoda; Insecta; Trichoptera; Leptoceridae
Description: 16S ribosomal RNA
Source: RNAcentral
AUGGCCUUUGAGAGGAUACCUCUUUCUUAGCCAUUCUAUAUCCAAAAUAUGAAAAGAAGGAUAUUAUAUUUUUUUGUUACCUUUUUUUAUACAGUGGCGAUCUCUACCAUAUAUUUAGAAUUUAACCAAGUAUUUAUUAAACACAAUACAGGAUUAUGUACUUUAAAAUACUAUAUCCUACAAAACUUUUAUUACUUUAACUUCAUACCGAAAAUAUCUCAUCAAGACAAAGAAAUCUGUAACUUGACAGAAAAUAAUGGCAUGAACUCAGUAAAAAUAUAUGAACCUUAACUUCUGUUUUUUAGUCAUAGACCUCUCACUUUUUUUCCAAUGUUAAUUCAGAAGGUAAAAACAUCUCCAAGAUAAUAUUCUGUUAUGAACUUAANUUUUGGAACAAUUAAAAUAAAAAGACUGAGAUUUGUAAUUAGUUACAAAUAAACAAUUCAGUAUAUUAAAUAAAAAUAUAAAAAUUAUACCAAUACGUUGUAAAAAUAAUAUGAUAAAAAAUWKWUWUWAAWWUWYKUAAAAUWYUAUUUAAAUAAAAUUUUAAAAAUAAUUUAAAUUUAAUAAAUUUAUUAARMUUAUAUUUUUAUUUAAUAUUUAUAUAUUUUAUUUUUUUAAUAUAAUAAUAAUAAUAAUAUUAGUAUAUAAAUAAUUAUUGAUUAAAAAAAAUUAAAUUAAUUUUUUUUUAAGAACUCGACAAAUUUAAAAUUUUACAUGUUUAACAAAAACAUGUCUUUUUGUUAAUUAUUUAAAGUCUAAUCUGCUCUCUGAAUGAAUUUUAAAGGCCGCAAUUAAUUGUGCAAAGGUAGCAUAAUAAAUAGUUUUUUAAUUGAUAACUUGAAUGAAUGAUUGGAUAAGAAUUUUAUUUUUUUAAAAAAAUAAAUAAAAUUUAGUUUUUAAGUGAAAAAACUUAAAUGUAAUAAGUAGACGAAAAGACMAUAAGUAGACGAAAAGACCCUAUAGAUUUUUAUUUAAAAUAAAAAAAAUUUUUUUUUAUUUUAAAUUUUAUUGGGGUGAUAAAAAAAUUUAUUAAACUUUUUUUUAUUUAAUCAUUUAUUUAUGAUUUUAUAUUAAACAUUAAUUUAAAAAUUUAGAUUAAAAUACCUUAGGGAUAACAGCGUAAUUUUAAUUUUAAGACCAUAUUAAAAUUAAAAAUUGCGACCUCGAUGUUGGAUUAAAAUAAGAUUUAAGAGAAGAAAUUUAAAUUUUAGGUCUGUUCGACCAUAGUAUUUUACAUGAUCUGAGUUCAAACCGGCGUGAGCCAGGUUGGUUUCUAUCUUUUAUAAAAUAAAAAUAUUUAGUACGAAAGGAUUUAUAGUUUUAAAUAAUUUAUUUUAAAUGAAUUAAAUUAAUUAAAUA